RNAcentral lists this ribosomal RNA (253 nucleotides) under uncultured bacterium. RNAcentral's name for it is "partial 16S ribosomal RNA". It matches the Rfam family "Bacterial small subunit ribosomal RNA", at positions 524 to 776 of the family's 1533-position model. The record is from RNAcentral.
UACGUAGGGCGCAAGCGUUAUCCGGAAUUAUUGGGCGUAAAGAGCUCGUAGGCGGUUUGUCGCGUCUGCCGUGAAAGUCCGGGGCUCAACUCCGGAUCUGCGGUGGGUACGGGCAGACUAGAGUGAUGUAGGGAAGACUGGAAUUCCUGGUGUAGCGGUGAAAUGCGCAGAUAUCAGGAGGAACACCGGUGGCGAAGGCGGGUCUCUGGGCCGAUACUGACGCUGAGGAGCGAAAGCGUGGGGAGCGAACAGG